This 253-nucleotide ribosomal RNA is filed under the name uncultured bacterium. RNAcentral's name for it is "partial 16S ribosomal RNA". It matches the Rfam family "Bacterial small subunit ribosomal RNA", at positions 524 to 776 of the family's 1533-position model. The record is from RNAcentral.
UACGUAGGGUGCAAGCGUUAUCCGGAAUUAUUGGGCGUAAAGAGCUCGUAGGCGGUUUGUCGCGUCUGCUGUGAAAACUGGAGGCUCAACCUCCAGCCUGCAGUGGGUACGGGCAGACUAGAGUGCGGUAGGGGAGAUUGGAAUUCCUGGUGUAGCGGUGGAAUGCGCAGAUAUCAGGAGGAACACCGAUGGCGAAGGCAGAUCUCUGGGCCGAUACUGACGCUGAGGAGCGAAAGCGUGGGGAGCGAACAGG